This 23-nucleotide non-coding RNA is filed under the name Cricetulus griseus (Chinese hamster). The record is from RNAcentral. Lineage: Eukaryota; Metazoa; Chordata; Mammalia; Rodentia; Cricetidae.
UAGUAGUGUAAUGGAUGCAAGCU